GCCCAGACUCCUACGGGAGGCAGCAGUGAGGAAUAUUGGUCAAUGGCCGAGAGGCUGAACCAGCCAAGUCGCGUGAGGGAAGACGGCCCUACGGGUUGUAAACCUCUUUUGUCGGGGAGCAAAGCGAGUCACGUGUGACUCAUUGAGAGUACCCGAAGAAAAAGCAUCGGCUAACUCCGUGCCAGCAGCCGCGGUAAUACGGAGGAUGCGAGCGUUAUCCGGAUUUAUUGGGUUUAAAGGGAGCGUAGAUGGGUUGUUAAGUCAGUUGUGAAAGUUUGCGGCUCAACCGUAAAAUUGCAAUUGAUACUGGCAGCCUUGAGUACAGUUGAGGUAGGCGGAAUUCGUGGUGUAGCGGUGAAAUGCUUAGAUAUCACGAAGAACUCCGAUUGCGAAGGCAGCAUACCGGCGCCCAACUGACGCUGAAGCACGAAAGCGUGGGUAUCGAACAGGAUUAGAUACCCGAGUA
RNAcentral lists this ribosomal RNA (466 nucleotides) under uncultured bacterium. RNAcentral describes it as "bacterial SSU rRNA". It matches the Rfam family "Bacterial small subunit ribosomal RNA", at positions 329 to 792 of the family's 1533-position model. The record is from RNAcentral.